AGUUUGAUCCUGGCUCAGGACGAACGCUGGCGGCGUGCUUAACACAUGCAAGUCGAACGCUGAAGCUUGGGUGCUUGCAUCUGGGUGGAUGAGUGGCGAACGGGUGAGUAAUACGUGAGUAACCUGCCCUUGACUCUGGGAUAAGCCUGGGAAACUGGGUCUAAUACUGGAUACUACAYUCUCUCGCAUGGGGGUGUGUGGAAAGGGUUUUACUGGUUUUGGAUGGGCUCACGGCCUAUCAGCUUGUUGGUGGGGUAAUGGCCUACCAAGGCGACGACGGGUAGCCGGCCUGAGAGGGUGACCGGCCACACUGGGACUGAGACACGGCCCAGACUCCUACGGGAGGCAGCAGUGGGGAAUAUUGCACAAUGGGCGAAAGCCUGA
RNAcentral lists this ribosomal RNA (384 nucleotides) under Kocuria sp. R-45692. Its description in RNAcentral is "bacterial SSU rRNA". It matches the Rfam family "Bacterial small subunit ribosomal RNA", at positions 10 to 386 of the family's 1533-position model. Lineage: Bacteria; Bacillati; Actinomycetota; Actinomycetes; Micrococcales; Micrococcaceae. The record is from RNAcentral.